RNAcentral lists this ribosomal RNA (223 nucleotides) under uncultured bacterium. Its description in RNAcentral is "partial 16S ribosomal RNA". It matches the Rfam family "Bacterial small subunit ribosomal RNA", at positions 111 to 334 of the family's 1533-position model. The record is from RNAcentral.
UAACGCGUGGGUAACCUGCCUUAUACAGGGGGAUAACAGUCAGAAAUGGCUGCUAAUACCGCAUAAGCGCACAGAGCUGCAUGGCUCAGUGUGAAAAACUCCGGUGGUAUAAGAUGGACCCGCGUUGGAUUAGCCAGUUGGCAGGGUAACGGCCUACCAAAGCGACGAUCCAUAGCCGGCCUGAGAGGGUGGACGGCCACAUUGGGACUGAGACACGGCCCAG